AGAGCCGGGGCUGUGUUUCCGCCGGCCUGCCUGUCUUCUUCUCCUUACUCUUUUUUCCUUUCCCCCUCCCUCCCUCCCUUCCUUCCACCAAGUUGAAGUGCCCCUUUCAUUUGCUUAUAAAAUAUUCAUCUGUGAUCACAGGUCAGGGCCUGACCAGUGUCCCCACAAUCAUUGCCAAUAUGAAUGCAGUGUUAUGUUUUUUUAAAGACUCGGCCAAGUCGCCAGGUGGAGGGCACCUGCUUGCUGGGACUGAGGUGGGUGAGAGGUAGGAGGUCAUACCUCCUAUCUCGUCAUAUUCGGCGAGCUGUUGGGGAUCACAGUUCCAGGAGUUCACUCACAGGCCGCCGAGCUCAUUCUGUGCAUGGCUAGCCUCUCCCCUUCUCCGUUUCUGAUCCUGGGCCUUCUGUGUGUGCUGCUCUCAGCCUCUUGGUCAUCUUUAAGGUCGUGAUCACACCGAGCUACCGUCUCACGGCAUCCCUGGGGGCUUCAGAGAGGUCUGGAGGUUUGGGUCCCUGUAUUUAGAGGCCCUGACAGCAGCCCCCUUUCUCUGUCCAGGGAAGUCAUUGUCAAUCUUAUCAGGAACCGUGUCCUGUAGAGGGGCAGGUGGGCCUGUGGACUUCCUGAGCUGCUCCCUCUGAGCCGUGCGCAAGUGGCAGGGCUUUGGCUAAAUAGGAAUUUUCCUUUCUAGUUUCCUGUUUUUCCCGUGGACUUUGGCUGAUAGGAGCUGCUGGGUGCGUGAGCUGGUUAAAGAAGUUUUCCUAGGAUUGAAAUGCAGGCCAAACUCCUCGGGUUGGUGGGUUCUGUUGGUGCACCCCCUGGGAAACCAUUCCUCUUUCGACAUAUGGAGGGAAUCUUCCCAGGUCAGUCUAACUCCCGGAGUGGCUGAGGUCGGCCCAGAGUCCUGUGAAGUGCUGGGGGAUGAGAACUUUAGGUUUUAUGAGCUGAGAGUUCGUAUGAAGGAUUUCAGGUUGGUGUGAACAGAACAACAGUGAAAACAGAUUUCCACAGUUUUCACUGAUGAAAUUCAAAGUACAAUGAUAAUAGUAAUUGGGUAUAAUUUGGGGAACACAGAUCUAAUAAGAAGAAUGGAAUCAUUUUUGGGGAAAAAUAACAGUUCGCAUGACUUGGUCUUCUGCCGGCUCAAGUGGUUUGGGGAGUUUUUCUAUAAAGCCACUCUUGGCUCAUGGCCUGUGUGAAGAAGGUAGCCAGCAGGUGCCAGGGUGGUGGGCUCAGCUGCCCAGGUCACAGUCAAUGCCUGUGCGCCAGCUCUAUUUACCAUUGGCCUGUCUGCUCCACAGGAGGGCAGGAAAAGAUUCACCCCCCGCCCCCCGGAAAAAUGUUUCUUCUUCCAGAUGGAGGAGGGGAAAUGGACCAGUGAGUUGAUGGAGCCACUUGAUGAAGGAAUCUCUGGAAUAGAGGAAGUGGUUGGAAGAGUAGUGACCAGACAGGCAUCAGGUGUGUGUCCAAGGUCCAGCUAAAGACUGUCCUCCUUCCUUUCAUAAGGAAGCUUUGAAAUGACCCUGAUUUCCCUCAUCGUCUUCCCCUGGGGUUGUGCAACCUGACUGAUGGUGAGGAACGUCUGAUGGUACCAGUGGUUACAGGGAAGACUGAGAGGAAGGGAGGCCAAGGGGACAGGGAUCGAGAGGACAAAGAAGGAAUCCACCAAUUAUGGGAUGUCCCUGUACAGAUACGGCACAAUGAGUCCUGUGCUAACUGAAAUAAUAAGAGGAGGGAGAUCCGUAGGGAAAGUGGAUCUGGGGGCAGGGAAGUGGGAAGGUACAGGGAAUGAGCUGGAUUAACUAUGUUAUGUGCAUCUAUGAUUAUGGCAUAAUGAAUCCAUACUGUAUAGGUAUGAUGCACCAAUAAAAAAUAAUUAAAAUGAAUGUCCAUGAUGGAAAGAAAGGAGGUUCCUCAUGUUUGGCAGAAAGACUCCUGUGAUUUUCAAUAUUUAAUUUGCUCUUAAAUUUUUUAUCUCCCAAACGUUAGAUAUGGUCAUCUGCGGUUUUUGAUGAAGCUGGUAUAUUGACGGGUCUUAGCCAAGUCCCUCUAUGGAAACUCAACAUUUCAGUCUAUGGUCAGGUAGGGUGUAAGAACGAAGCAGUUGUCUUGAGUUUAAGUUUCUGUUUUAAUCAUAAAAAUUAAAAUUGUGCACGACACACAGGUGGGGCACAUUGUCCAGCGCCUGGCUGUCGGAGAGAAGUUGCUCCUCCAUGUCUGUUUGCUCCCCUCCUUCUGGUGCUGGAGUAAGCUGGGCUUGACCUCAGCACAGAGCCACAUCUGGGCUCCGCUUCUCCCAGCCUCCCCUGGGGACCUGUGCACCUUGUCAUGGAAUCCUGCACGGUGGCCUGGAAGCCGCCCCCAUUUCUAUCAUCCUGCUGUGCAGGAAGGAAAGGGGAGCAGACCCAGCCUCCUGGACCCAGAAAUAAAUGCUCUCUGUUGAGUGUGGUGGCACACACCCCGUCAUCUCCAAACUGCUCCAGGAGCAAGGAGGAAACCGCUGUCCCCAGGGAGGCCUGGACCUUUUCCUGUGACAACUUAACUGUGCUUGCAAAGAGACUGUGUUCUCUUUAUACAUGAAAGUGAGAAGCGUGUCUCCUCCUCUUCCUUCUCCUGCUCCCCCUUUCUGUCCACGAUAGUAAUUUGUAAUUUGCUCUAUUUCCUGCCGGCUUAUGAUUCCAUAAUAUAAUGAGCUUUUUUUUUUUCUG
RNAcentral lists this long non-coding RNA (2705 nucleotides) under Marmota monax (woodchuck). Lineage: Eukaryota; Metazoa; Chordata; Mammalia; Rodentia; Sciuridae. The record is from RNAcentral.